UACUCUAAAGAGGCAGAGGUUUCUGGUUGCCAUAUUAAAUGCAAAAAUAACCCCUCUCUGUGGCCUAUAAGUAAAUAAAGUAUGCCGUCUAGGUGCCCUUAAAGUAUAAGAAACUGUAAAAGCAUGCCAUCUAAUGUUCUUUCUAUUGAUUAGGUGUUUAUAAGAAGCUCUUCAAGUAUAAUUUGCUGAGCAUCCCGGGCACUUCAGUUCACCCAGGGUUACUAGUUUGCAUUUUACUUUAACAUAAAAAAGGAUGUCUGUAUUCUCCUACUUAAGAAAAAA
Non-coding RNA from Xyrichtys novacula (pearly razorfish), 282 nucleotides. The record is from the annotation of a GenBank genome assembly. NCBI's taxonomy places the organism in Eukaryota, Metazoa, Chordata, Actinopteri, Labriformes, Labridae.